Molecule: long non-coding RNA, 397 nt
Organism: Falco peregrinus (peregrine falcon)
Lineage: Eukaryota; Metazoa; Chordata; Aves; Falconiformes; Falconidae
Exons: 3
Source: RefSeq, a predicted model, not a curated record
GGAAGUUAUUUGGCACUUAAAAAGCAGCAAAAAAUUUGAACCAGGUAUGUGGUAGAAGACAAGAAGCAAAGGCAAGAAUAAGAAGAAUUAUAUUCACAAUGAAUUAAAGACAGUGAUUUACAGUUAACAACGUAGAAGAGACUUGAGAAGUCACCCAGUCCACCUUAAGCAAUUUCAGUGCCAAGAAGAGGAAGGCUAAUGGGUGAAGUGGCAUUUCCCCACCAGUCCCACUGUCUGCCGGGGGGACAUGACAGAGAAGAGGCACCACUCUGCAACCCGCCAGCCCUGAGCUCUGAGCCUGACUGCCAAACCAUCCAGCCCCUGAGCAGCAGAGUCCUCAGCACCUGAUGAGUUUAGACUUGUGACUUUGACAGGAGUUUUGGGAUAUUUGAUGUUA